UUUAUGAACAAACAGAUAAAAGUCAGUACAACUGUUCUAGAGGCCCUUAUGACUUAACUGCAAUAUUCCUAAAACUCUUCUCUGUACUCCAGCACUUGAUUUCAUUUUGAUGCUGCAUUUCAUAUGUGAUAUAUCAAAAGCAUAAAGCAGAAGUCAGAAUAUCACAAGUAAAUACACUUCCAGUUUUGAAGGGAUUUCCUGACUUAUGAGAAGGGAAGGAGGGAAAUUAUGAAGACUUGAUGUGGCUUCAAGAAACUCUUACACAGGCAUGAAUCAUACACAAGGAGGCAGCAGGUUAUAGAAGGAUCUUCUUAUAGACAUAAUGAUGAAAUAGUUCUAUACCACUUCCAGUGCCAGGCUGAGAAGAAUGAGAUGGAAGAAGGGGUACCACCAGAGCACUAUGAUGUUGAAUAAAACCACCACUGGAUUGUCCUCCUGAGCUUGGUGCAUGAAAAUGAAGAGGAAUGUGGGAGAAGUGAUACUUAAAUAUAUGAAGAAAAAAAUACCACUCCAGCCAUUAACUUGUAGGAACUAUCCAAAAUAGCAGCCAAGAUGAAAACGAUGGCUUCUGAAAGGCCAAGAAGGGGGAUAACAGGCUGAAAGAAAUCCAGUAGACAGAAAGUCGAAAAGGUUGGGGCAAGGCCUCCAAAAUUUAUAAUAAAUGGCAGAAGAUAUAUGAUUCACACUCACCCUCCCUCCAAUCCAUCUGUCUUCUGAGGUAAUAUGGUUCUGGGCUGGCAAGCUAAGGGAUGGAGAAGGAUGGAGGAAACCGAAAACGUGAGCCAGAGAAGGAAUGACCUAGGAAAUCAAGUUUCUGAAGGACACUCGACAGAGAAAAAGGUCACUUUUUCAUCAAACAAGCAAAAAAAUGUGAGAAGAAAUUAUAUAAGAAAGGUUUUGAGGUGUGGAAUACGAGAAAAGAGGAAACUAAUGAUGGAUGGCUUUAAUUUUGAAAUCUUUUGUUGUAAAAGAUAA
This is a long non-coding RNA of Phascolarctos cinereus (koala), 975 nucleotides long. RefSeq lists it as uncharacterized. Lineage: Eukaryota; Metazoa; Chordata; Mammalia; Diprotodontia; Phascolarctidae. The record is from RefSeq and is a predicted model, not a curated record.